GUGAGGAAUUUUCCGCAAUGGGCGAAAGCCUGACGGAGCAAUGCCGCGUGAAGGAUGAAGGCCUAUGGGUUGUAAACUUCUUUUCUCAGAAAAGAAUUAUGACGGUAUCUGAGGAAUAAGCAUCGGCUAACUCUGUGCCAGCAGCCGCGGUAAGACAGAGGAUGCAAGCGUUAUCCGGAAUGAUUGGGCGUAAAGCGUCUGUAGGUUGUUUAAAAAGUAUUCUGUCAAAGAUUAGGGCUUAACCCUAGAUAGGCAGAAUAAACUUUUAAGCUAGAGUUUGGUAGAGGCAGAGGGAAUUCCCGGUGAAGCGUUGAAAUGCGUAGAUAUCGGGAGGAACACCAAAGGCGAAGGCACUCUGCUGGGCCAAUACUAACACUGAGAGACGAAAGCGAGGGGAGCAAAUGGGAUUAGAAACCCCAGUAGUCC
This 426-nucleotide ribosomal RNA is filed under the name uncultured bacterium. RNAcentral's name for it is "bacterial SSU rRNA". It matches the Rfam family "Bacterial small subunit ribosomal RNA", at positions 354 to 796 of the family's 1533-position model. The record is from RNAcentral.